This 588-nucleotide ribosomal RNA is filed under the name uncultured bacterium. RNAcentral describes it as "bacterial SSU rRNA". It matches the Rfam family "Bacterial small subunit ribosomal RNA", at positions 338 to 916 of the family's 1533-position model. The record is from RNAcentral.
CCUACGGGAGGCAGCAGUGGGGAAUCUUGGACAAUGGGCGCAAGCCUGAUCCAGCAAUGCCGCGUGGGUGAAGAAGGCCUGCGGGUUGUAAAGCCCUUUCGGUGGGGAGGAACGGUCUGGUGCUAAGAGCGCUGGACUUUGUCGUUACCCCACAGAAGAAGCACCGGCCAACUCCGUGCCAGCAGCCGCGGUAAUACGGAGGGUGCGAGCGUUAAUCGGAAUUACUGGGCGUAAAGGGCGCGUAGGCGGUGCGUGGAGUCAGCUGUGAAAGCCCUGGGCUUAACCUGGGAAUGGCAGUUGAGACUGGCGUGCUGGAGUGCGACAGAGGAUGGUGGAAUUCCCGGUGUAGCGGUGAAAUGCGUAGAGAUCGGGAGGAACACCGAUGGCGAAGGCAGCCGUCUGGGUCGACACUGACGCUGAGGCGCGACGGCGUGGGGAGCAAACAGGAUUAGAUACCCUGGUAGUCCACGCGGUAAACGAUGAGAACUAGACGUCAGGCGGGUUUAACUGUUUGGUGUCGGAGCUAACGCGUUAAGUUCUCCGCCUGGGGAGUACGGCCGCAAGGUUGAAACUCAAAGGAAUUGACGG